Small nucleolar RNA from Macadamia integrifolia, 107 nucleotides. NCBI's taxonomy places the organism in Eukaryota, Viridiplantae, Streptophyta, Magnoliopsida, Proteales, Proteaceae. The record is from RefSeq and is a predicted model, not a curated record.
AGGCCAUAAUGAGGGCAUUAUUGGAGUAAAUCCUUGAACCUCUCUAUAAGCUUAUAAAAGGAUUCACUAGACUUUUGCCUAAACUGAAGGAUAUCACUUCUAAGCUU